UCUAGGAAGAGUGUGGUCCAGAAAGAGGGCUCCCUGCUUUGGUGCAUUUCAGGACAAAUACACUGACAAAUAACAGAGCGUCUGAGCAAAGGGCAGCAGGUGAUCUGUUCAAAAGCAUGGAUCUUCUUCCUAGUCCCACAAAAAUCCAUGCCUUGCCUCUGAGCCAUGAACUACCUACCAUGGGGGCUUCAGGGGCUGCAAACUGCUUCACUCAUCUCUGAGAGCUGAACCAAGUCUGAUUUUUCACCAUCAGUAUCAUAUUUUCCACCAAGACCAGGAAUGAAAAUUGCUGAAAACAGCUAUCCAUCUUGAAAGGAAGAAAACAUUAUCACCAAGCAUUUUAAAGGAAAAUUCAGAUGGGUUUUCAUAAUGGCUUUGCCAUUCUGUGUCCCAGAUGUUCCUCAGCUUGGGCAGAGGGCCAUUCCAUGAAGGCCCACCUAGGACACCUUUUGGUAACAGCAUCCUCUUAGUAGGGUCUUCCCAGAGGACAGCUUUGCGUGCACAGAGAAGAGAAGAAAAUGCAGAAUACAUCAUGAGUGCUCUUGCACAAGAAGAAGCCUGCCAAAAAUCUAUGGUUCUGGGAAUUCCUGAGCUGAGAGAUGCUUCUGGGUGACCGUGUUUAAUAGCCACUGGAGAACCCAGCUAAAGCUUCUACAUCACCUUAGCAAGAAGUUCCACUGUACAAUAGUGUACACUUUUUACCAAGAUUCAAAGAUUUCUUACUGCUGUCAUUUUAUGUAGGUCACUCAAAAGGUAACACUUCCUAUUUAUUUCCAAAGAAACUACAACAGAUACAAAGAGCGCAGUAGCACUACUUGAUAGAGAAAAUUCUGAGCUACAAAACACUAUUUUUCAACAUAGUUG
Molecule: long non-coding RNA, 864 nt
Organism: Numida meleagris (helmeted guineafowl)
Lineage: Eukaryota; Metazoa; Chordata; Aves; Galliformes; Numididae
Source: Ensembl